GAGUAAUCAAGUGUCAAAAGGGCGUUCGGGGAAUGCCUUGGCGGUAAGAGGCGAUGAAAGACGUGGCACGCUGCGAUAAGCUUCGGCGAGGUGCGAGCAACCUUAGACCCGGAGAUUUCUGAAUGGGGAAACCCACCUCAGAGAUGUAAGUAGAUAUCUAAUCUUCGGGUUAGAUAUCGAUCUUACAUUUCAUAUACGAGGUAUUUUAACCUGAAUUCAUAGGGUUAAAAAGCGAACCCGGAGAACUGAAACAUCUCAGUACCCGGAGGAAAGGACAUCAAACGAGACUCCCUUAGUAGUGGCGAGCGAACAGGGACCAGGCCGUGCUCUGAAACAACGAGAACCAGAUGGAAAGCUGGGCCAUAGCGGGUGAUAGCCCCGUAUCGGUAAAAUGAAGAGCCGUUAGAGUAAGGCGGGACACGUGAAAUCCUGUCUGAAGAUGGGGGGACCACCCUCCAAGCCUAAGUACUCCUUACCGACCGAUAGCGAACAAGUACCGUGAGGGAAAGGUGAAAAGACCCCCGACGAGGGGAGUGAAACAGAUCCUGAAACCGAACGCCUACAAGCAGUGGGAGCGAAAGUGACCACAUACCUUUUGUAUAAUGGGUCAGCGACUUAGUUUAACGAGCAAGCUUAAGCCGAUAGGCGUAGGCGCAGCGAAAGCGAGUCUGAAUAGGGCGCCCAAGUUCGUUGAAUUAGACCCGAAGGCAAGUGAUCUAGGCAUGUCCAGGCUGAAGGUGCAGUAACAUGCACUGGAGGGCCGAACCCAUGAAUGUUGAAAAAUUCUGGGAUGAGGUGUGCCUAGGGGUGAAAGGCUAAUCAAACUUGCUGAUAGCUGGUUCUCCGCGAAAACUAUUUAGGUAGUGCGUCGGCUGAAUACGUCAGGGGGUAGAGCACUGGAUGGGCUAGGGGUCCUCGCAGGAUUACCAAACCUAACCAAACUCCGAAUACCUGACAGUAAUAGCCGGCAGACACACGGUGGGUGCUAACGUCCAUCGUGAAGAGGGAAACAACCCUGACCGUCGAUUAAGGCCCCCAAGUAAUGGCUAAGUGGGAAAGCAUGUGGGAAUGCUGUAACAACCAGGAUGUUGGCUUAGAAGCAGCCAUCAUUUAAAGAAAGCGUAACAGCUCACUGGUCAAGCGUUCCUGCGGCGAAAAUGUAACGGGGCUCAAGCCAUUCGCCGAAAUCACGGGCUCGAAAGAGCGGUAGCGGAGCGUACUGUAAGCCUGCGAAGGAAUAUCGUGAGGUAUUCUGGAGGUAUCAGUAGUGAGAAUGCUGACAUGAGUAACGACAAACAGUGUGAAAGACACUGUCGCCGAAAGACCAAGGGUUCCUGCGUAAAGUUAAUCUGCGCAGGGUUAGUCGGCCCCUAAGGCGAGGCGGAAACGCGUAGUCGAUGGGAACCAGGCGAACAUUCCUGGACCAGGAGGUGGUGACGGAUUUCGAAAGUCGUACAGGCUUAUUGGAUUGUCUGUGCGGCCUGGAAGUCCCAGGAAAUAGCCCCUCCAUUAGACCGUACCCGAAACCGACACAGGUGGUCAGGUAGAGUAUACCAAGGCGCUUGAGAGAACUAUGCUGAAGGAACUAGGCAAAUUACACGCGUAACUUCGGGAUAAGCGUGCCUCAUUAGAACGCAAGUUUUAGUGAGGGGCACAAGCCAGGGGGUGGCGACUGUUUAUCAAAAACACAGGGCUCUGCGAAGCCGCAAGGCGACGUAUAGGGUCUGACUCCUGCCCGGUGCCGGAAGGUUAAAGAGAGGUGUGCAAGCAUCGAACUGAAGCCCCGGUGAACGGCGGCCGUAACUAUAACGGUCCUAAGGUAGCGAAAUUCCUUGUCGGGUAAGUUCCGACCUGCACGAAUGGAGUAACGACUUCCCCGCUGUCUCCAGCAUAGACUCAGUGAAAUUGAAUUCCCCGUGAAGAUGCGGGGUUCCCGCGGUUAGACGGAAAGACCCUGUGAACCUUAACUAUAACUUCGCAGUGGCGUUAUCGGUGGUUUGUGUAGGAUAGGCGGGAGGCUUUGAAGCAUGGGCGCCAGCUCGUGUGGAGCCAACCUUGAAAUACCGCCCUAAUCUUCGGUGACGUCUAACCUCGACCCAUUAUCUGGGUCAGGGACCCUGCGUGGCGGGUAGUUUGACUGGGGCGGUCGCCUCCCAAAGAGUAACGGAGGCGCGCGAUGGUAGGCUCAGUCCGGUCGGAAAUCAAGAGUCCAUAUCGACGGCAUCGUUUGGCACCUCGAUGUCGGCUCAUCUCAUCCUGGGGCUGGAGCAGGUCCCAAGGGUAUGGCUGUUCGCCAUUUAAAGAGGUACGUGAGCUGGGUUCAGAACGUCGUGAGACAGUUUGGUCCCUAUCUGCCGUGGGUGUAGGAAACUUGAGAGGAUUUGUCCCUAGUACGAGAGGACCGGGAUGAACAUACCUCUGGUGGACCAGUCGUGACGCCAGUCGCGCAGCUGGGUAGCUAUGUAUGGACAAGAUAAUCGCUGAAAGCAUCUAAGCGAGAAACUUACCUCAAAACCAGGUUUCCCUGAGAGCCGUGAUAGACCAUCACGUCGAUAGGCCAGGUGUGGAAGGUCCGUGAGGACUGCAGCUUACUGGUACUAAUUGCUCGAUAGGCUUGAUAACUCU
RNAcentral lists this ribosomal RNA (2625 nucleotides) under Chitinophagaceae bacterium. RNAcentral's name for it is "23S ribosomal RNA". It matches the Rfam family "Bacterial large subunit ribosomal RNA". Lineage: Bacteria; Pseudomonadati; Bacteroidota; Chitinophagia; Chitinophagales; Chitinophagaceae. The record is from RNAcentral.